Molecule: ribosomal RNA, 552 nt
Filed under: Polymixia berndti (Pacific beardfish)
Lineage: Eukaryota; Metazoa; Chordata; Actinopteri; Polymixiiformes; Polymixiidae
Description: partial 16S ribosomal RNA
Rfam family: Bacterial large subunit ribosomal RNA
Source: RNAcentral
CCGCCUGCCCUGUGACUAUAUGUUUAACGGCCGCGGUAUUUUGACCGUGCGAAGGUAGCGCAAUCACUUGUCUUUUAAAUGAAGACCCGUAUGAAUGGCAUAACGAGGGCUUAGCUGUCUCCCCUUUCUAGUCAAUGAAAUUGAUCUCCCCGUGCAGAAGCGGGGAUAAAAACAUAAGACGAGAAGACCCUAUGGAGCUUGAAACCUAUAAUAGUACACGUCAAACACAUCAGCACAAAGAAAUGAACUAAUUGUUUACCUAUUAAAGUGUUUUUGGUUGGGGCGACCGCGGGGAAAACAAAACCCCCAUGUGGACUGGGAGAACUACUCCCACAACCCUAGAGCUACCGCUCUAAGUAAUAGAAUAUCUAACCUUCAAGAUCCGGCAAAGCCGAUCAACGGACCGAGUUACCCUAGGGAUAACAGCGCAAUCCUCUCCCAGAGUCCAUAUCGACGAGGGGGUUUACGACCUCGAUGUUGGAUCAGGACAUCCUAAUGGUGCAGCCGCUAUUAAGGGUUCGUUUGUUCAACGAUUAAAGUCCUACGUGAUCU